Molecule: long non-coding RNA, 234 nt
Filed under: Manihot esculenta (cassava)
Lineage: Eukaryota; Viridiplantae; Streptophyta; Magnoliopsida; Malpighiales; Euphorbiaceae
Description: long non-coding RNA (MESC_LNC003053)
Source: RNAcentral
CUUUGACAAUAAAGUAGCUUUCCAUAUCGCGGCCAACUCAGAUAAACUGUCAUGUUAUUUGUAAUCAACUAAUAAAAGGAUUCAUUGUCACUCAUCAUAUCUCUUCUAAAUAACAACUCACAAAUCUCUUUUCUAAGCCCUUUGGCAUGAUAAGUUUUCACUAUCUUCUCUCUAAGAUGAGACUACUUAGUCCUGAGGCGUUUUCAUCUUGCGGGGUGGGUGAAAAGAAUAAAA